Non-coding RNA from Cherax quadricarinatus, 1240 nucleotides. NCBI's taxonomy places the organism in Eukaryota, Metazoa, Arthropoda, Malacostraca, Decapoda, Parastacidae. The record is from RefSeq and is a predicted model, not a curated record.
UGAAAUUUGACUCCAAACUAACCAUGAAGAACCAUGUUGUAAAUCUUGCAAACAAAGCAGCCAGGAAGCUUACAGCACUUCGCCGUAUCUCGCAUCUGCUUGACAGUAGGGGUUGCAAGAUUCUGUACGAGGCACAAGUACGCUCACACCUUGAGUAUGUUCCACUUUCUUGGUUUGCCUGCCCCCCCCCCCUCUCAUCUGCGACUGCUUGACAGAGUAGAGAACAGAGCAAGACGUCUCAUCUCUCGCCUGGACCCAUCCUGGAUAGAUCUGUCACUUCAGCAGAGCCUUCAACACAGGAGGGAUGUGGGUGGCCUUACUGUUAUGUACAAGGCCAAUAUUGUCAAAGUACCACACUUGGAUCCACUUCGAGGACAGCGUGAAACAAGCUUUUAUGCCAUAAGACGGGCAGAAAGCAGCAACUUCACUCUGGCUGUACCCUUCUCCAGAACAUCACUCCAUCUGAGAUCCUAUAUACCCAGGAUGACUCAUGUAUGGAACACAUUCGUACAGCAUAAUGAUGUCAACGAGAUAGUUGAUCAAAUGAAAAUGCUGGUCCACAGAUGGCUCCAACUUCAUCCUGUUCCCUACUUGUAUGUCUCAUAACAAUAAAAAUGCUUUCAAAUGAGCUGAUGUAGGUAACAACUUUAGCUUGCCAAUAAAGUUAGGAAUCCUUAACCUGUAAACAGCUUGUCAAUAAAGCUAGGGAUCCUUAACCUUGUCAGACCCUGUGUAAAAAAAAAACUAAACUUUAUGAACUUUUAAUGUAUUUUAAAGAGCAGUAAAUGUUUUGAGACGGUCUGAUCCUUGAUUGUAUGGAGUUUUACUUAUUUGAAGUUAAUCAAGAGUUUUCAUUUCACAUUAUACAUAAUUUAGCUUAUGACGUAGGUAGAUGUUCAGCAGUGUGUGUGUGGGGGGAGGUCGUGUGUUUGACGCAGUGUGUGUAGAGGGGUCGUGUGUUUGACGCAGUGUGUGUAGAGGGGUCGUGUGUUUGACGCAUUUUGUGUAGAGGGGUCGUGUGUUUGACGCAGUGUGUGUAGGGGGGUUGUGUGUGUGACGCAGUGUAUGUGUGGGAUGAUUGUGUGUGUGACGCAGUGUGUGUGUUGAAGGAUUGUGUGACGCAGUGUGUGUAGGGGGUUGUGUGUGUGACGCAGUGUGUGGGGGGCUGUGUGUGUGACGCAGUGUGUGUGUUGGAGGAUUGUGUGUGUGAUGCAGUGUGUGUGUGGCGGGGUUGUGUGUU